Passer domesticus (house sparrow) is the source of this 2735-nucleotide long non-coding RNA. RefSeq lists it as uncharacterized. The record is from RefSeq and is a predicted model, not a curated record. NCBI's taxonomy places the organism in Eukaryota, Metazoa, Chordata, Aves, Passeriformes, Passeridae. The transcript is spliced from 4 exons.
GGUAGGGACACCUUUCACUGAACCAUGUUGUCAGAGCUCCAUCCAGCCUGGGCUUUACACUUUGUCUUAUUAAAUCUCCUGAGAUUCUCCUGUGACACUUCUGAGCUGGUCCAGGUCCCUCUAGGUGAUAUUCCAUAAUGGGAUGCUCUUGUUGAGCUCUUGUCUGGAGAAACACAGCUGCUGUGGAGGGCUCUCAGCACCAGCUGGGACUCAUCCAUCUGCUCCUAGGCAUCUGCAGGGCAGGUUUAGCAGCUGAACAGGAAACCUGAAGAUGUCUGGGCAGACAGAUGGAGGCAGAAGAGGUUGGGUCAUCUUUGUCUGGCUGCUGAGGGAAGAUGAUCUAUGUGGAUGCCACAGGAGGAGAAAGUGGGCAUGACAACAGAACAGCAAAAACUCCUCACAGAGACAGCACUGGUACGGACUUCACCAUGGACUGGACCCCAUUUCUGCAUGCCCCUGGACUCCAUUUCUGCAGUCCCACCUCGUGGUGCAGUUGCAGACCUGCUUCUCUGUUAGGACUUACACUGUAAGAUCUGGUGGGAUUUGUCCACAGAGAUUUGGCUUUUUUGCAGCAAAGAGAUGCAGAGGUUUUCGGGCCCCUGGGGAAGCUCAGUGGCAGCAGUGAGUGUCAAUGAACAGGGAACCACAGUCUCUUGCAAAGCUGUUAAUCUUGCUGGAUGUAUCUGUAUUUAGAAUUAGAACUAUGUUUGUGUAUCUACUCAUUUGCAUGUUAAUGGGACUCUCUAGGGCUUUUCCUUGAUCUUUAACAAGAAGAAAGCCUGGCUAAUUGAAAUUUAUUUGAAAAGGGUUUGUUUGCUACUUGGGCUGAGGACAAUAGACUACAACAGCUGAGGAAGGCUGCAAUGGUCAUGUUAGCAGAGUUAGAUUUUAAUGCCUGAGCAUUCCUACGCUGUCAGGAUAAGCUGAUAGAGGCGGUGAAGGGUGCACACUGAUCCUUUUCCUGCUAACCACCCUAAAUUGGUUUGGGUCCAGCCUCUUGUAGUGGCUGGCUUCCCAGCUGCUGAGCUGGGAGUUCUCGUUUAGAGGAACAAAGGACCUGCAUGUAAACCUUUUCAUGUCCUGCUGUACACUUCUAACUGUUGAAUCUGGCUCCAGAAUGUAGCAGUGACAGAGAACAAAGAUGUGUCCCAGUCACCACCACUAAGCCCUGACCAUCUGGACUAUCCUUAAACACCACACAUCAGACCCUUUAUUGUAUGACUUUGUUUAUUCCAGCAGCUUUGGUUUUCCAAACCCCUUAUUCCACUGUCAGUGGAGCAAGACUCUUCUGCCUCAGGUCUUAGGGGGUCUUGCAAGCAGCUCCUUGCUUUGUGUGUGCUGCUGAGGUGUGGCAGUUGCUGUAGCAGAUCGAGGUACUCUGGGAAUUACCUCCAGGCUGGGAACAUUGUGAUGGAUCAAUCCAUCAGCUGACCCUUGGCCAACACCAUUAGCCACACUAGAGCUGGAGGUCAGGAUUUCAGCAUGGAAAUAACUUUUUGGGUGAAUAAUGAUGAUUAUUUGCUAGGGGGGGAAGGGUUGUAUAUUUUUACUGCUCAUCCUCUGUGGGCUGUGUUUCCAGCUGAUUGCAUGAGAGCUGUCCUGGUGUGCAUCUUCUGGGGUGCUUUGGUUUUAACCCAAAUGCUGGAGUUUCUUUCUGUCUAGUUAGUCACCACAAAACACUGCAGGGGAUGAUUAACACUUCUCUAAUCUCUGUGUUUUAGAACAUGUCUAUGAUUUGGUGGUCUCAGUCCAUUUCUUUCCGAAUAUUUAAUUGCUGGGCCUUAAGUUGAGGUUUUUGAUUAUGAAGGGUUCAUUAGAAGGCAGACAGCACAUUUCCUAGUACACAGGGUGUAAUCACAGCUGAAGCACAGCUGUCAAAAUAAAAUGAACACAAAGUGAAGCUAUUGCUUUAGCUGUGCUUAUAGACUCAUUAACUCUGAAAACUUCACACUCCAGAGUGGUUCUUCCUGCUCAUGUGGAAUAAGGAUGGGCUGCCAUGCUGCUGUGACCAAAGUCCAACAGCAUUUUGUCUUGCUUUUCUGAGGCAGAGAUGAUGGAUGUUUUGAAAGAAAGUACCGAGUUACCUGUGACCUCACAAGGCAGGGAAAUACAAAUGUAACAGAGAGGACAAGACUGCCAAAGGAGACCAGAGUUUGGAGGGAUGACUGGAUGCCAGGUGGCCUAGAGGUGUAGAGGUGUCCUGGUGACAGUGUUCUGUGGGGCACAGGAGGAGUGGAUGAGGUCUGUUCUCAAGGUAGCCAUUGUCUUCAGAUCUGAUAAACCACGUAGCAGCCAAGUGCAAGCACAGUGUGAAACCACAGCUGUUUGUGCCAUCCAAGCACCUUCCCUGAGGAAUAAUUCAGCAUCUUCUUGUUUUUGAAGACUCUGAGCGUUCUGGCUAGGAUUGAAUGAUACCAGCCUUCCAUCCUUUGUAUUCCUCCCUAUCUCCCGAGACUGCAAGUCACCGAUUUUAUUUCUGUAGUAGAAAGGUGCACAGGCUCUACCAGCAUGCACAGACAUGGAAUUUUCUGGAGCUUUUUUUAAAAAAAGCAGCUUCUCUCAGCUUCUGACCUCCCCCCCGCGAUUUCCUGCUGUGUCUUACACAAAAGCCGCUGUUUUCUCUGCCUCCCCACUCUCUGCCACUGCCUGGCUUCGAGUUGCAUGGCUCCUGUGCUGCUCCUGCCCCCUCAGCAGUGCAGCCCUCUGCAGCUGGCACCGCUUUCCACCAUGAUAAA